UGUGCGGAAGGGAACGAGGAGAUGAACACUCUCCCUGCUCUUCAAAGUCUGCCACGCAUGGAGCCAGCCGCGUAACCUCGUCUGGACGAUCAUUAGAGGAGUAUUGGCGCUGGGACAGGAGCAGGAGUCACAGCAGCCAUGAUGUGUGCUGGCAACCCUCGAUCACACUCUCAGCUCCGCAGCUGCAGGAGGGUCAUGGCAACCUCUCCAGAAAAUAAAUGAAAUUCACCAAUU
Molecule: long non-coding RNA, 234 nt
Organism: Pogoniulus pusillus (Red-fronted tinkerbird)
Lineage: Eukaryota; Metazoa; Chordata; Aves; Piciformes; Lybiidae
Exons: 2
Source: RefSeq, a predicted model, not a curated record